This 2289-nucleotide ribosomal RNA is filed under the name Triticum aestivum (bread wheat). Its description in RNAcentral is "partial small subunit ribosomal RNA". The record is from RNAcentral. Lineage: Eukaryota; Viridiplantae; Streptophyta; Magnoliopsida; Poales; Poaceae.
AUGAAUGGUGUUUUGACAAAAGGUGGAAAGAAAUAUUUCAUGACGUUAAUUGACGACUCCACUAGAUACUGUUGUGUGUAUCUUCUGAAAUCUAAGGAUGAGGCUUUGAACUUUUUCAAGAUCUAUAAAGCUGAAGUGGAAAACCAACUUGAUCAGAAAAUCAAGAGGCUUAGGUCCGACCGUGGUGGAGAGUAUUUUUCCAAUGAAUUUGAUGCUUUUUGUGUGGAACAUGGUAUAAUCCAUGAGAGGACGCCUCCCUACUCACCUCAGUCAAAUGGGGUGGCUGAAAGAAAGAACCGUACUCUAACUGAUUUGGUUAACGCCAUGUUAGACACAUUGGGUCUCUCCAAGGCAUGGUGGGGGGAGGCGAUAUUGACAGCAUGUCAUGUCCUAAAUCGAGUUCCCACAAAGAACAAAGAGAUAACUCCAUUCGAGGAAUGGGAGAAGAAAAGGUUAAAACUCUCUUAUCUGCGAACAUGGGGUUGUUUGGCGAAAGUCAAUGUUCCAAUUCCAAAGAAGCGGAAACUUGGACCAAAGACUGUGGAUUGUGUUUUCUUGGGAUAUGCUUUUCAUAGCAUUGGCUAUAGAUUCUUGGUUGUAAAAUCUGAGGUACCUGACAUGCAUGUCGGUACGAUCAUGGAGUCGAAUGAUGCGACUUUCUUUGAAGAUAUCUUUCCCAUGAAGGAUAUGGCUACCUCAUCUAAUCAGGAGAUGCCUAGUUCAUCGAAUCAGGAACCAGUUACAAUUACCGAACCUGCCAUUUCGAUGGAACACUUUGAAAAUCCCGUGGAGGAGAACAAUGAAGUUCCUAUUAGGAGCAAGAGACAGAGGACUGCAAAGUCCUUUGGUGAUGAUUUUCUUGUGUAUCUCAUAGAUGACACUCCCAGUUCUAUUUCAGAGGCUUAUGCAUCUGAAGAUGCUGACUACUGGAAGGAAUCAGUUCGUAGCGAGAUGGAUUCCAUCUUGGCGAAUGAAACUUGGGAGAUAACUGAUCGUCCUUAUGGGUGCAAACCUAUAGGAUGCAAAUGGGUAUUCAAGAAGAAGCUUAGGCCUGAUGGUACUAUUGAAAAGUACAAGGCUCGGCUCGUGGCUAAGGGUUAUACCCAAAAGGAAGGUGAAGAUUUCUUUGAUACUUACUCACCUGUGGCUCGACUGACCACUAUUCGAGUUCUACUUUCACUAGCUGCCUCACAUGGUCUUCUCGUUCAUCAAAUGGAUGUUAAGACUGCUUUCCUGAAUGGAGAGUUGGAUGAGGAAAUUUAUAUGGAACAACCAGAUGGGUUUGUAAUAGAUGGUCAGGAAGGGAAAGUGUGCAAAUUGUUGAAGUCUUUGUACGGACUCAAGCAAGCACCCAAACAGUGGCAUGAGAAGUUCGAAAGAACUUUAACAGCUGCAGGCUUUGUUGUGAACGAAGCUGACAAAUGUGUGUACUAUCGCCAUGGUGGGGGCGAGGGAGUUAUGCUUUGCUUGUAUGUUGAUGACAUACUGAUUUUUGGAACAAAUCUGAAUGUUAUUAAGGAGGUCAAGGAUUUCCUAUCUCGCUGUUUUGAGAUGAAAGAUUUAGGAGUGGCUGAUGUCAUUCUGAACAUCAAGUUGUUGAGAGAUGAUGAUGGUGGGAUUACAUUGCUUCAAUCUCACUAUGUGGAAAAGAUCUUGAGUCGCUUUGACUAUAGUGACUGCAAGCCCUCUCCAACACCAUAUGAUGCUAGCGUGUUGCUUCGAAAGAAUCGAAGAAUUGCUAGAGAUCAAUUGAAGUAUUCUCAGAUUAUUGGCUCGCUUAUGUACUUAGCCAGUGCUACAAGACCUGACAUAUCUUUUGCUGUUAGCAAGCUGAGUCGGUUUGUCUCAAAACCGGGAGAUGUGCAUUGGAAAGCUCUAGAGAGAGUUUUGCGUUAUUUAAAAGGCACUGUAAACUAUGGAAUUCACUACACUGGGCACCCAAAGGUGCUUGAAGGGUAUAGUGACUCAAACUGGAUCUCAGAUGCUGAUGAGAUAAAGGCCACGAGCGGAUAUGUGUUCACUCAUGGAGGUGGCGCUGUUUCUUGGAAGUCUUGCAAGCAGACCAUCUUAACGAGGUCAACUAUGGAAGCAGAACUCACAGCACUAGAUACAGCUACGGUCGAAGCAGAUUGGCUUCGCCGACUCUUGAAUGACUUGCCGGUUGUUGAGAAACCUGUACCGGGUAUCCUUAUGAACUGCGACAAUCAAACUGUGAUCACGAAAGUUAAAGUCUAUCAGGAAAAUGAGAAACUCCGGAGUUAUUGCAUUGGAUUAUAUCCAAACGUCUAA